RNAcentral lists this long non-coding RNA (641 nucleotides) under Elaeis guineensis (African oil palm). Its description in RNAcentral is "long non-coding RNA (EGUI_LNC001808)". Lineage: Eukaryota; Viridiplantae; Streptophyta; Magnoliopsida; Arecales; Arecaceae. The record is from RNAcentral.
AUUAGAAUAAAUUAUACAAAUUUAAAAAUAUCAGAAUUACAUGCUAUCCACCAUUUCACCGUUAUCAAUUGUGGAUCAGAAAGGAAAUUCAAUCAAGAAUUAGAAUAAUUUGAGAUCCACCUCAUCCAUUUCACAAUCGCUAGCGGCCGGGGACUGCAACGGUAAUCCCUUCUCCCACUCCUCUUCUUCCCUCCUUUUCCCCUCCUUGUCCGCAUCGAUGGCGUCAAGAUCCGGGUCCAGGUCCAUAUGCUUGAGGAGCUCAAGUGCUCGCUGGCACUGCUCGAGGACCGUCUCAAUGGUUUUCCGCUGCACCCGUAUCUGCUCCUCCACGCCCCAGUGGAGUCGCAGCGCACUCCGCGGGGCCUUGGCAGCGGAGUGCAAGGUGGCCGCCUCCGCCUCCUCCAUGAAGCCCUAACCCUUAUAAGAACAGAAAGUGGAGGGGGGUAGGGAUUCUGUAGAAGGAUUAGGUUUUUGUUAAAUAGAUGGAGGAGGAAUUCCAGCCCCGUUCUUCAUCUCCGGCUACAUGGGUUCUGUCCUUGCCACCGGAUGGAUCUUGAAUCACCCCUCCCAAUUGCUGCCGUGGGUAAGGCUUGAAGCAAACAAACAAAAAAGAAAAAACAUGUGGGGACGGUGCCAGGAAA